AACACGUUUAUCACAUCACAUAGCCAGUCAUCAGGGGACGUUCCUCGUUUUUGUGGUGGUUGAUUGAGUUGGUUGAUGUGUUAUGUUCUGGGGCAUGAUGACCAAAUGUGUUUCUGUCCCAUGAUUUCUUUGCAGGCUCGCACAAUACAGUGCGAAGCAAGGUCAUCAGAGGAACAGUAAGGUUGGGGAACAGCAGCAUCAGAGUAUUCAGUUUAUGUGCAUUUUGACAGGAAAGGAUGGCAGACAUCUCGGGCUCGCUUCAGAAGCAGCAGGAGGUGCAGUCUGUGUAGGAGGUACCCAAAACCAGUUCACACACAACUCAUUUCCCCUUCAUGAGAAGUGCAGGUGUAUCUGCGCGCGUGACAGUCAUGUCUGCAUCGUGUGCUGGGGUCUCACGCUUGGCAUGUUUGGUUAUGUGCCAAGGAAAGGUUCAUAAGGUCCCACUAAGAAAAGGACAGUGGGAAGCGAGUCCCUGGCGUGCUUCGUCCGGCUGGUACGCGGCUGCUUACCCAUGGCAGAGGAGGGGUGGCUGCGGAUAAAAUGGGUUAUUCUGCCCCUGCGGUUUUGGAGGUUGGAUGCUUAUUCCUUAAAAUAGACACUUUAUAGUCUCAAAAGGAAGGCCAAUGCAUCAGUAGUUAUGGGUUAGCUUUUUACCAUCAUCCUACAGUAAUAAACUCUUAAAAGUGGUGUUUUCUGAUUAAGAUAAUGAAUCUAGAAGUGAAUUCAAAAGAGGUUAGUGAAUAUUGAUAGCUCUUCUGAUGUCACAGGAAACGUGUGUGUCAGAUGAGAGGAUGGAUGUUUGGAGUGAAAUCUUGAUUAUGAAAAUUAUCAGCCCAAAAACUUCAAAUAAAGAAUUAGUUUUAUAGUGGCUUUAUAUUUAUGUUGAUCUAAGAUUAUAAGCAAAGCAAUAUUUGUAUGUAUGGAAUGUCUCUUAUCAGCUGAUAGAAAAAAAAAUUACUUCAUUUACAAACUACUCAUGGUAGCAACUCUGUACUUCAUAGUUAGCUGUAAAUUGUAAGUUGGGGAGCCCUUUUUUUGGUUUUUUUUGUUUGUUUUUUAUUAUUUUUAAUAUUUGGCAUUUCAUGUGUUGUAUCCUGGGUAGAACAUAACUGGACAGAUGGAUUUAUUUUUUACAAAAUCUUUUCUCAGUUUUGCUUUUGUUGUUUGUUUUUGUUUUGUGGUAGUCAGAUUUCCAGAACGACUUGUGUGGUGUCUUACAGUAUUGUAAGGGAGGCUUACUGUCACCCAGUCUGGGGGGCUGCUGCUUGGAAGAAACAUGCAGAAGAUACUUGGAUGCGUCACAACCCUUCAUACUCCUCCGAGUUCUUUGGAGCUAGAGCUGGCUGGCACCCUAUGAAUCAUAGUGAAAAAGUAUGAAAUGCCACUCAAAAGGCAUUUGGCUGAAACUAAGUUUGUCUAAAGGGACUUGUUAGAGAGGACAGGGAAGGUAAAUUGGGAAAGUUGUAAGAACCACCUUCUUGUGCAGCAAUUGAAGCAGGAGCAGGUCUAGCACUUCUUUCUGCUGGAACAUUUAUGACACCACUUUAGGGUUUGGAUGCUUCCUCUCAUGUAUAACCUGUAAAGACAUCCUGAAGUUAAUAGAAGUUUUCUCACAGUCUUUGUUGCAAUAGCAUUUUUUUUUUGCUGCUAAUGGGGGUGGAAUAGGGCAGAGAAACAAAGGAUCCCAGAAGAUACUAAAUAAAAAUUGUAAACAUACCACAAGUGCCAGUACCACCACAGUGAUCGCUUAUCUCGGCAAUAUUACUGCGUCACUGGCUCACUUUCUAAAAGAUGCUGUGCUCUGGUGAUAUGGCAGCUGUGCUCCAAGCAGUGUGCGGAAUGUGAACCCAAGAUUUUGCUAUUCCCUGUGCCUUCAUUCAUCUCUGUCCCUCUCUCUGCCUCCGUCUUUGCCUUUUUGGCUUUCCUUUUUCCCCUCUCUAAUUAGAGACUUGAACAACCACUCAAGCCAAAUUUCCUACAUUUUGUUGCAGCUAUCCGGUAGCUACAGUGAAUGUUUGGAUUAAAACUGGGAUGUGUAUUUUGUUUCUUUCACGAGCCUUUUACUUCCCUCUCUGUUUUGGGGCCAGAAAUCAAAUUUAAACAUGACCUGAGGAAGGAAAAUACUGUCUUCCGACAGAUACCUGACACAGUUAUGAAGAGAUUGUCAUGAGGUGUCUUUUCUGCCUGCAAGAACCACUUUUUGGUAGCCAAAGUCUUCAGAUUAAAAUUGCUGUCCUAGAGAGGAUGUAGGAUGCUGUCAUCAGACAUCUGGCUUGAAGUCAGUGUGGUUUGAUCCUGUGUCAUAGACGUGUGUGGAGAAAGUUGCCCAGGUCCUUGUCUAUCUGUUCCAUAGCAGCGGUAUUACCUUUCUCAUUUUUGCAGUUUCUUGUGCAAUUCCCCUGUGAUUGUGAAAGCAUUUGGAGGUAUGUACCUCUUUUUGUGUGUUCUAUACAUGUUCCUGAAUGUUAAGGUUUCCAAGAAAUGGGGCUGUGUACUAGAGGUUCAUACUAUGCCAGUGCAACUAAGCUGCUGCUGUCCUUAAGUAAAGAAAAAGAAAGAAAAAAAAAAACAGCAGUGUAACUCUUGGCUUUAGAAACCCUUCCUAAUCCUUGGUACAGCUGCCCUGUACAUGAGAGAGAAAAUGUCAUGUUAGUGUUUUUCGAGCUGAAGGACAUGACACAAAAGCUUUCCCUCUUUAAUAAUGAUUAGUUAUAUGAGGGGGGGGGUGUUGUUCUGCUGAGCUUGAUACUUUUAAAUUGCUUAGGCUUUUUGAAUCCCUAAGGAAACCAAAUGCUGUGCUGCCUGGCCAGUGUUCUGCCCCUGUGAGCUUCACUUCUGGCCCUGGGACUCUGGACUACAGGUAACAGAACAGCAAGGGCUGAGCUAAAUUCCCUUUUGGUAGUGGACCCUCAGGCUCCCCAGUGGAUCUCAGCAGGGAGUGCAUUUCUGCCAGCCCCACAACCCUAGCCAUCAAGCUCUACCCUCCAAACUUAUCAGUAGUUUUGCUCUGCAAAACAGACUUUACCGUUUUUCAAGGCAACUGCCAUGCGUUCCAGUUCUCGAUGCUUCCUGAAGAAACAGUAGAGUUGGGUGACGGAGUGAAAUACUUUACUAUUCAUGUGAUUUACAAUUGCACCCAAAACAACUAUCAGGCAUAGCUGCGCUUGGAAACUUCCUUCCCACUUCGAGACCCCACCCAUGUUCAAGGUGGAUAUAAGUAACAUGCAAAGGUAUGUCACGCAGUUUUGUUGGAGGGUGUAUCAUCCAUCUCCUGAUCUAUUGCUUCGUGUUGGUUUUAAUUUUCUUUCACUUACUUGAUACUCUCCUAUGUUUUCAUCCUAUUCUUUUCCUGGACUAAUACCUGUAUCCUGACAGCAGGAUUGAACUUGCUAUUGAUUUUUGAUUGCAUACAGUGGUUUAAUUCAAGGCUUGAGUCAGCAUCUAGAUCUCACUUGAACAUCAGUGUGUCCACCCCAUGGUAACCGUGCUUUUGUCUUGGUUUUUAAAACACUUUUAUUUGUUCUAGUACUGUCCCUGGAGGUGGUAGGCUGCUGUGUGCUGAUUUCAACUCGGUGUCUUUUAAUUCCACUUGUGAAAUUCAUCUCAUGAGACUUUAAGACAAAAUGCAUUAGUAAUGCUUCGGAGCAGGGAUUGCAUCGCUCCCCGCCCCGCAGCUGGAAGUGUCCUCAUUACUAGUUUACAGGGUUGUACUCCGUGAUGGUUCUGUUCUCUGUGGAGCUAUUAAUGAGCCAUGAAUUCUGUGUUCUGGCAUCGGAAUGGCACACCCUCCCCAGGGGUGACAGGGAAUGGCUAAUCUCAGCAUUGCCCAUUGUUUGGUCACAGCUGCCAUUUUCUGACUAGUGUGGAAGGGCUUGUACUUCUGAGGCCGAAAGGAAGAUAUUAUCAAGUGUUGAUUAAUUAUUUUUUUUCUGAAUUUUAUUUGUAUGACUCCAGCCAGGUCUCAAAGGUGACGCAGCUCAUCUCACAGCACAAUUGAUUCUGCUGUUACUGCCAUAACCUAAUUGUUUUUCUUUUCAUUUUUUUGAGAGUAAAGGCAUUUAACUCUGAACUUAGAAGAGACCAACGAGUAAAGCACACCGGUGAAGAAGUUGUGGAUAAGGGCCUGAGCUUUUGCCAGGAAGACCGCUUUAGGGCGCAAUGGGAAAACAUCCUGAGCAUAUUGGAUCUUGGCCAGGCUAAAGGAAAGCAGCCCAUCGCCUGGAGGAUUGCUCCCACUGCUUCCAGCUUCUUCUAAGAGUCUUGACAACCAAAAAGCAAAGAACACCAAGGGCUUUCCAAGCCUGUUGGGAUUUAUGGAUUCAUUUUCAACUUGGCAACGAGAGCUGGACUCGAAUGCAUCUCAGCAGAGAUACCAAAUAGCAACAGCCUUCUACCCUGCCUGUGCGAAAGCUGCCUCCUCCUUUCUGUUAGCAGCCCCUUCCCUUACCUCAGGAGCUGACAAAGCCAAAAAGAAAUCCUCCUGUCUUGGAAAGUGUAAGAGGGUCUGCAGCAGAAACUCCUGAGUCCCAGAUGCUUGUGCUGUGGUGAAAUAACGGAACAGUCUGUGCUUUCCGUGGGCUCCGGGCCAGCAGCAGAGUUCCUCUCAAGCAGGCAGUGACACAGCACUGCUGCUGAGCUGCCCUUCCAACAAAAGCUCCAUGAGAAAAAACCCUCUGGUCAGGA
Haliaeetus leucocephalus (bald eagle) is the source of this 4683-nucleotide long non-coding RNA. RefSeq lists it as uncharacterized. The transcript has 3 exons. Lineage: Eukaryota; Metazoa; Chordata; Aves; Accipitriformes; Accipitridae. The record is from RefSeq and is a predicted model, not a curated record.